RNAcentral lists this unclassified non-coding RNA (373 nucleotides) under Hevea brasiliensis (rubber tree). The record is from RNAcentral. Lineage: Eukaryota; Viridiplantae; Streptophyta; Magnoliopsida; Malpighiales; Euphorbiaceae.
AAAAUGUUAGUUGCUGAAAGGAGAGUUGAAGCUACGGAAAUGAAGAAAAAAAGAGAGAAAGAAAAGCACUUCCUAUAUUCAAUAUAGUUGGUUGUAUAUCUCCCAAUUUAAUCUGUGAAUUUAUGUUUCUCUGAUAUUCAAACAGCUUUGUGUCUUUUAUUUUGUGUUUGAAAGCAAGCUUUGUUUUGUUGCAAUGAAAAACACAUCCUGGUCAUCUCCCCUGUUUUUCCCAAAAAGAUGCCGAGGCCACAUUAUAGGUUCUCCAAGUCCUCUUUAUUUUUGUCAUAAUGAGUCUGUGUUCCAUGUGUUGCGAGACUGCUUUGCUGCCAAGGCUGCUUGGGCUUAUUUGCUUGACAGGUGUGGUGGAUCUCAG